Physella acuta is the source of this 853-nucleotide long non-coding RNA. RefSeq lists it as uncharacterized. The record is from RefSeq and is a predicted model, not a curated record. NCBI's taxonomy places the organism in Eukaryota, Metazoa, Mollusca, Gastropoda, Physidae.
UUGACGUCCAUGCGUGUCACAUGUUCCUCUACUAAGUGUCGAGUGUUAGCAAAUAAUUGAUGCAACCAAGCAUGAUCAACUUUACUUUCACGAGGUUUGGGCUGUGUGCUUUCAUUAUGUUUACCGUCUUUGUCCACUCCUUGCCAAUACGUCGCAACUAUCCUGAGUUUUGUAACAUGGAUAACAAGCACAUAGUGAGGAAACCAAUGGUGGGAGAGAACCUAACAAUCGGCGUGUGUGUCUGGGCAAUUAUAGAGCCCACUUUCCCGAUGGUGCAAGUCAAUAAUGUAACAUACAAAGCUAACAAUUAUUCAAGUCCAAAAUUUGAUUUUCAUGUCGACUACCCAAUAGAUUAUCAGAUUACAUUUCAUUUGAGGUUCAAAAAUAUUUCCGAGUCUGACUAUCAAACUUACAAAGUAAAACUAAUAACAGGGGUAGGAAAAUAUGUGACAUCAAGCAUUGAGUUUCUGAAAGACGACACUACACAAGGCACACCCUAUUAUAUUUGGAUUGCUAUUGCGGCGGCAAUAGUUGCUUUAUGUUUAGUAUGUGGUUGCUGUGCUUACUGUUACGAUAAAUGCGAUAACAGGGAUGGGUAUACGUCUUUAUCAAAAAACGGUUGUACAUUCGAAGAUUUAAUGGACUGCUUGAUGUGUAUAUUUUGUGUAGUGAAAUGUUUAUUUUGAUCACUACUGAGUCAGCCAUUGGCAAAUCUAUACAGAAACUAGGAUCUUACAUGUUUUGUAUUGUAGUUUGGUAUGAAAGUCUGAAUGAAAUUUCUGCGUGAUGCAAACACGCGUUAUGGUGUUAUUUAUUUCACUCAAAUACAUCUUGCUUAUACCUUGAAUUUGUG